RNAcentral lists this long non-coding RNA (773 nucleotides) under Sarcophilus harrisii (Tasmanian devil). RNAcentral's name for it is "lncRNA (ENSSHAG00000027934.1)". Lineage: Eukaryota; Metazoa; Chordata; Mammalia; Dasyuromorphia; Dasyuridae. The record is from RNAcentral.
UAAGAAUAUUCCAAAAUCACAAAUGGAGGUUUAAGAGCAGUGAUAAAAGGUUCUUAUUUAAUACACUUGGAGCCUAUUCUGCGUCAUACUUCUAGAUCUAUAUUGAACCUAGGACCAGUACAAAAGACCUACAAGACCUGAGAACUCAAAAAAGGUUCUUUCACUUGAUUUCUAGAAGAAAUAAUCAUGAAAAUCAAGAUAUACUUCCUCAAUCACAGAGUUCACUGAUUGGUAACUUUCAAAAGGCAUUUGGCUCAUCUCACCCACAUCUAUCAUCACUGGCCUCGUAGACGGCUCGUGUGGACAAUCCCCUUCCCCCACGAAGAUAAAUUGGACGCUGGAGAGUGAUAAAAGAGCGCUGCUAGUGUACGGGAGCAGUCGGUAAUGGGAAGAAGAGAAUGAAGAAACUUUUAAAGAGGCUUUCAUGGACUCAGCCUGGAAGGCGGAAUUUGCCCGAGCUCACGAUCUUAAUGAAUGAAGGAUAGAAUCGGAGAUUUCUUUCUUGUCCCUCCACUCCCCUCCCCCUGUCUACUCAGCCUCCCUUUGCUGGUAUUUCAAAGUAAAGCAAGCCUCGAGUCCGAGAGCGGGGGAAGGGCGGCAGAGUAGAUUGAGCAUCUUAGUCUACCCCCCAAAGGCUCUAGGACUAGUCCCCCCCAGCUUCCCUUCCCCGGGAGAAGUAAGGCCUGGGGGAAUUGAGACUUGCUUCAUCCCACCAAAGGGCAGCAAUGAGAUCGGUACUUUCCAUUUUCUUGCACAGAGAUGGGGCAGGGACG